GCUCCUUCGACGGCGCCGCCUAGGAACGCGGAGAAAAUAUGACAAAGGAACGGCCAAAAAUAAAAAGAAAGACCUUUCUUUUGAAAAAACAAACAAAAAAAAGGAAUGCAACACGAAGACUUCCCAGGAGGUCACCCAUCCUAGUACUACUCUCGCCCAAGCACGCUUAACUUCGGAGUUCUGAUGGGAUCCGGUGCUUUAGUGCUGGUAUGAUCGCAUCCGACAUACCGUGCGUUCUCCUCCCCUUUAUGCCCGCGCCUCCGUGUACGGCCCGCCCAUAGCUCCUUCGACGGCGCCGCCUAGGAACGCGGAGAAAAUAUGACAAAGGAACGGCCAAAAAUAAAAAGAAAGACCUUUCUUUUGAAAAAACAAACAAAAAAAAGGAAUGCAACACGAGGACUUCCCAGGAGGUCACCCAUCCUAGUACUACUCUCGCCCAAGCACGCUUAACUUCGGAGUUCUGAUGGGAUCCGGUGCUUUAGUGCUGGUAUGAUCGCAUCCGACAUACCGUGCGUUCUCCUCCCCUUUAUGCCCGCGCCUCCGUGUACGGCCCGCCCAUAGCUCCUUCGACGGCGCCGCCUAGGAACGCGGAGAAAAUAUGACAAAGGAACGGCCAAAAAUAAAAAGAAAGACCUUUCUUUUGAAAAAACAAACAAAAAAAAGGAAUGCAACACGAGGACUUCCCAGGAGGUCACCCAUCCUAGUACUACUCUCGCCCAAGCACGCUUAACUUCGGAGUUCUGAUGGGAUCCGGUGCUUUAGUGCUGGUAUGAUCGCAUCCGACAUACCGUGCGUUCUCCUCCCCUUUAUGCCCGCGCCUCCGUGUACGGCCCGCCCAUAGCUCCUUCGACGGCGCCGCCUAGGAACGCGGAGAAAAUAUGACAAAGGAACGGCCAAAAAUAAAAAGAAAGACCUUUCUUUUGAAAAAACAAACAAAAAAAAGGAAUGCAACACGAGGACUUCCCAGGAGGUCACCCAUCCUAGUACUACUCUCGCCCAAGCACGCUUAACUUCGGAGUUCUGAUGGGAUCCGGUGCUUUAGUGCUGGUAUGAUCGCAUCCGACAUACCGUGCGUUCUCCUCCCCUUUAUGCCCGCGCCUCCGUGUACGGCCCGCCCAUAGCUCCUUCGACGGCGCCGCCUAGGAACGCGGAGAAAAUAUGACAAAGGAACGGCCAAAAAUAAAAAGAAAGACCUUUCUUUUGAAAAAACAAACAAAAAAAAGGAAUGCAACACGAGGACUUCCCAGGAGGUCACCCAUCCUAGUACUACUCUCGCCCAAGCACGCUUAACUUCGGAGUUCUGAUGGGAUCCGGUGCUUUAGUGCUGGUAUGAUCGCAUCCGACAUACCGUGCGUUCUCCUCCCCUUUAUGCCCGCGCCUCCGUGUACGGUCCGCCCAUAGCUCCUUCGACGGCGCCGCCUAGGAACGCGGAGAAAAUAUGACAAAGGAACGGCCAAAAAUAAAAAGAAAGUCCUUUCUUUUGAAAAAACAAACAAAAAAAAGGUAUGCAACACGAGGACUUCCUAGGAGGUCACCCAUCCUAGUACUACUCUCGCCCAAGCACGCUUAACUUCGGAGUUCUGAUGGGAUCCGGUGCUUUAGUGCUGGUAUGAUCGCAUCCGACAUACCGUGCGUUCUCCUCCCCUUUAUGCCCGCGCCUCCGUGUACGGCCCGCCCAUAGCUCCUUCGACGGCGCCGCCUAGGAACGCGGAGAAAAUAUGACAAAGGAACGGCCAAAAAUAAAAAGAAAGACCUUUCUUUUGAAAAAACAAACAAAAAAAAGGAAUGCAACACGAGGACUUCCCAGGAGGUCACCCAUCCUAGUACUACUCUCGCCCAAGCACGCUUAACUUCGGAGUUCUGAUGGGAUCCGGUGCUUUAGUGCUGGUAUGAUCGCAUCCGACAUACCGUGCGUUCUCCUCCCCUUUAUGCCCGCGCCUCCGUGUACGGCCCGCCCAUAGCUCCUUCGACGGCGCCGCCUAGGAACGCGGAGAAAAUAUGACAAAGGAACGGCCAAAAAUAAAAAGAAAGACCUUUCUUUGAAAAAACAAAGAAAUAAAAGGAAUGCAACACGAGGACUUCCCAGGAGGUCACCCAUCCUAGUACUACUCUCGCCCAAGCACGCUUAACUUCGGAGUUCUGAUGGGAUCCGGUGCUUUAGUGCUGGUAUGAUCGCAUUCGACAUACCGUGCGUUCUCCUCCCCUUUAUGCCCGCGCCUCCGUGUACGGCCCGCCCAUAGCUCCUUCGACGGCGCCGCCUAGGAACGCGGAGAAAAUAUGACAAAGGAACGGCCAAAAAUAAAAAGAAAGACCUUUCUUUUGAAAAAACAAACAAAUAAAAGGAAUGCAACACGAGGACUUCCCAGGAGGUCACCCAUCCUAGUACUACUCUCGCCCAAGCACGCUUAACUUCGGAGUUCUGAUGGGAUCCGGUGCUUUAGUGCUGGUAUGAUCGCAUCCGACAUACCGUGCGUUCUCCUCCCCUUUAUGCCCGCGCCUCCGUGUACGGCCCGCCCAUAGCUCCUUCGACGGCGCCGCCUAGGAACGCGGAGAAAAUAUGACAAAGGAACGGCCAAAAAUAAAAAGAAAGACCUUUCUUUUGAAAAAACAAACGCCUCCGUGUACGGCCCGCCCAUAGCUCCUUCGACGGCGCCGCCUAGGAACGCGGAGAAAAUAUGACAAAGGAACGGCCAAAAAUAAAAAGAAAGACCUUUCUUUUGAAAAAACAAACAAAAAAAAGGAAUGCAACACGAGGACUUCCCAGGAGGUCACCCAUCCUAUUACUACUCUCGCCCAAGCACGCUUAACUUCGGAGUUCUGAUGGGAUCCGGUGCUUUAGUGCUGGUAUGAUCGCAUCCGACAUACCGUGCGUUCUCCUCCCCUUUAUGCCCGCGCCUCCGUGUACGGCCCGCCCAUAGCUCCUUCGACGGCGCCGCCUAGGAACGCGGAGAAAAUAUGACAAAGGAACGGCCAAAAAUAAAAAGAAAGACCUUUCUUUUGAAAAAACAAACAAAAAAAAGGAAUGCAACACGAGGACUUCCCAGGAGGUCACCCAUCCUAGUACUACUCUCGCCCAAGCACGCUUAACUUCGGAGUUCUGAUGGGAUCCGGUGCUUUAGUGCUGGUAUGAUCGCAUCCGACAUACCGUGCGUUCUCCUCCCCUUUAUGCCCGCGCCUCCGUGUACGGCCCGCCCAUAGCUCCUUCGACGGCGCCGCCUAGGAACGCGGAGAAAAUAUGACAAAGGAACGGCCAAAAAUAAAAAGAAAGACCUUUCUUUUGAAAAAACAAACAAAAAAAAGGAAUGCAACACGAGGACUUCCCAGGAGGUCACCCAUCCUAGUACUACUCUCGCCCAAGCACGCUUAACUUCGGAGUUCUGAUGGGAUCCGGUGCUUUAGUGCUGGUAUGAUCGCAUCCGACAUACCGUGCGUUCUCCUCCCCUUUAUGCCCGCGCCUCCGUGUACGGCCCGCCCAUAGCUCCUUCGACGGCGCCGCCUAGGAACGCGGAGAAAAUAUGACAAAGGAACGGCCAAAAAUAAAAAGAAAGACCUUUCUUUUGAAAAAACAAACAAAUAAAAGGAAUGCAACACGAGGACUUCCCAGGAGGUCACCCAUCCUAGUACUACUCUCGCCCAAGCACGCUUAACUUCGGAGUUCUGAUGGGAUCCGGUGCUUUAGUGCUGGUAUGAUCGCAUCCGACAUACCGUGCGUUCUCCUCCCCUUUAUGCCCGCGCCUCCGUGUACGGCCCGCCCAUAGCUCCUUCGACGGCGCCGCCUAGGAACGCGGAGAAAAUAUGACAAAGGAACGGCCAAAAAUAAAAAGAAAGACCUUUCUUUUGAAAAAACAAACAAAUAAAAGGAAUGCAACACGAGGACUUCCCAGGAGGUCACCCAUACUAGUACUACUCUCGCCCAAGCACGCUUAACUUCGGAGUUCUAAUGGGAUCCGGUGCUUUAGUGCUGGUAUGAUCGCAUCCGACAUACCGUGCGUUCUCCUCCCCUUUAUGCCCGCGCCUCCGUGUACGGCCCGCCCAUAGCUCCUUCGACGGCGCCGCCUAGGAACGCGGAGAAAAUAUGACAAAGGAACGGCCAACAAUAANNNNNNNNNNNNNNNNNNNNNNNNNNNNNNNNNNNNNNNNNNNNNNNNNNNNNNNNNNNNNNNNNNNNNNNNNNNNNNNNNNNNNNNNNNNNNNNNNNNNGUCACCCAUCCCAGUACUACUCUCGCCCAAGGCACGCUUAACUUCGGAGUUCUGAUGGGAUCCGGUGCUUUAGUGCUGGUAUGAUCGCAUCCGACAUACCGUGCGUUCUCCUCCCCUUUAUGCCCGCGCCUCCGUGUACGGCCCGCCCAUAGCUCGUUCGACGCCGCCGCCUAGGAACCCGGAGAAAAUAUGACAAAGGAACGGCCAAAAAUCCAAAGAAAGAUCUUUCUUUUGAAAAAACCACCAUAAAAGGAAUGCAACACGAGGACUUCCCAGGAGGUCACCCAUCCUAGUACUACUCUCGCCCAAGCACGCUUAACUUCGGAGUUCUGAUGGGAUCCAGUGCUUUAGUGCUGGUAUGAUCGCAUCCGACAUACCGUGCGUUCUCCUCCCCUUUAUGCCCGCGCCUCCGUGUACGGCCCGCCCAUAGCUCGUUCGACGGCGCCGCCUAGGAACGCGGAGAAAAUAUGACAAAAGAACGGCCAAAAAUAAAAAGAAAGACCUUUCUUUUGAAAAAAGAAACAAAAAAAGGAAUGCAACACGAGGACUUCCCAAGAGGUCACCCAUCCUAGUGCUACUCUCGCCCAAGCACGCUUAACUUCGGAGUUCUGAUGGGAUCCGGUGCUUCAGUGCUGGUAUGAUCGCAUCCGAUAUACCGUGCGUUCUCCUCCCCUUUAUGCCCGCGCCUCCGUGUACGGCCCGCCCAUAGCUCGUUCGACGGCGCCGCCUAGGAACGCGGAGAAACUAUGACAAAGGAACGGCCAAAAAUAAAAAGAAAUACCUUUCUUUUGAAAAAACAAACAAAAAAAGGAAUGCAACACGAGAACUUUCCACGAGGUCACCCAUCCUAGUACUACUCUCGUCCAAACACGCUUAACUUCAGAGUUCUAAUGGGAUCCGGUGCUUUAGUGCUGGUAUGAUCGCAUCCGACAUACCGUGCGUUCUCCUCCCCUUUAUGCCCGCGCCUCCGUGUACGGCCCGCCCAUAGCUCCUUCGACGGCGCCGCCUAGGAACGCGGAGAAAAUAUGACAAAGGAACGGCCAAAAAUAAAAAGAAAGACCUUUCUUUUGAAAAAACAAACAAAAAAAGGAAUGCAACACGAGGACUUCCCAGGAGGUCACCCAUCCUAGUACUACUCUCGCCCAAGCACGCUUAACUUCAAAGUUCUGAUGGGAUCCGGUGCUUUAGUGCUGGUAUGAUCGCAUCCGACAUACCGUGCGUUCUCCUCCCCUUUAUGCCCGCGCCUCCGUGUACGGCCCGCCCAUAGCUCCUUCGACGGCGCCGCCUAGGAACGCGGAGAAAAUAUGACAAAGGAACGGCCAAAAAUAAAAAGAAAGACCUUUCUUUUGAAAAAACAAACAAAAAAAGGAAUGCAACACGAGGACUUCCCAGGAGGUCACCCAUCCUAGUACUACUGUCGCCCAAGCACGCUUAAGUUCGGAGUUCUGAUGGGAUCCGGUGCUUUAGUGCUGGUAUGAUCGCAUCCGACAUGCCGUGCGUUCUCCUCCCCUUUAUGCCCGCGCCUCCGUGUACGGCCCGCCCAUAGCUCCUUCGUCGGCGCCGCCUAGGAACGCGGAGAAAAUAUGACAAAGGAACGGCCAAAAAUAAAAAGAAAGACCUUUCUUUUGAAAAAACAAACGCCUCCGUGUACGGCCCGCCC
Molecule: long non-coding RNA, 5860 nt
Filed under: Sorghum bicolor (sorghum)
Lineage: Eukaryota; Viridiplantae; Streptophyta; Magnoliopsida; Poales; Poaceae
Description: long non-coding RNA (SBIC_LNC015499)
Source: RNAcentral